UGGGUUUUAUACAGAUAUGUUUUCUGCUUUUUGAUUGUUUCGGUAUAGAGAUAAACCCACUACGGGAUAUAUUGCCCUGGAGAUGCGGCUGCUGGCCACGGCCACAGCUACUGGGCUGUCGGACUCGGCCAGUCGGUCGGUGGUCGGCCAGAAAGGGAGCAGUUGGCCGGACUCUUGUCGACCAUGAAGACGGUAAAGCAGCGAGCUGUCCAACUUCCAGUAUGUGAUGCACCUCAACACGCUGACCAGUCGCUCCUAUAACGACCUGAUGCAUUACCCACUCAGAUCCCGGUGUCGGGCUCGGGGCACCGUAAGGCCAUCGUUUGGGAUUUGUCGCGUUCCACUUUCAUCCGCCAGUCGACGGGGCAUAAUGCGCCGCUUGCGGCCAACGACAUCAACGACCUGACAGGCGACAUCGCCACCUGCACAGGCACUUGGCUCCACCUCUGGUCCAUCUAUAAGCGACGCACUGGCCAGCGUCAUCAUCCUGGUGAGCCAGAUUGGCCACAGGUUCCCAACGAGGAAACGCCGCACAAGUGAGGACGGAAUAGAAACGGCCAAGGCUCCUAAUCUCGUCGAAGAAUCGGAAGAGGAUUCCAUGACGCCAUCCGCCAACAGUUUGUCCAUCAGCUGCGGCGACAGCAGCGAACACGAAGGGCCCGACAGCACUUCUUCGCCCGUCCCGACCCAACCGAAGGAGGGGAGGAGAUUGCAUCGCCGGAACAACCGGAACAACAACAAACGACGGAGCCGUUGCAGACGAGCCGGAGCGAUUCGAGUCUGAACGAACGUUCGUAAUGAUUAACGAGUCUAAAGUGAGGAAGAGCGACAUCAGCAGACGCAAACGCUCAAGGCUAACGUGGUGGCCCCUUUCGUCAGCCAAUAGCCGGGAAAGAAAUCUCGCCACGUCCUGAAAGAAGGAUUGGAUUAUUUAAAUCUCAAACUGGACUGAUUAGAUUUACGGGGGGCGGGGCAAUUUAAAUCACAUGCUGAAGUCAGGUGUGUAGAUGAUUUCUAAAUUAGGUUUUAACAAGCGAUCCACGAUUCAAGUAGACCGAAAUCCCGGAGCGGCUUUCCAGAUCUAAAUCCGGAAACGCCCUUAAAAAUAUAUAAAAAAUAUGGUCAUGUUCGUCUCUGCACGCCGGAUUUACCUGCGUUUGCAGAAAGACGAAAUUCCCGCCCGUUUACGAGAUAUUAAGCGUUAAAGUGUGGUUUUUUUUAAUUUUGUCAGAAAUGGGGGGUGCUUUUACAUCGCUUUUCGGAAAAGCGGGGGAGCUAUAGUAAAAACUAAUUUUAUAGAAAGGUUUAUUGCUAUGUCAACGACCAAAAUCCAAAAGGAAUUUUCUUUCCGGAUUUUAUUGGUUGAGUUAUGACUAAUUUCCUGAGAGGCUCAUUUUCCCCUUUUCCCUCUCUGUCUGGCAGCCAUUUUUAUUGUACUCUCCUCCGCGCCCCUUGCGGAAGCCAGCUUGGUUCCUAUAAAUAUAAAGGCCGAUAUGACUUCUAUGGGUCUAAAAUGAAGGCCAACAGAUAAAACCUUCUGCUUGCUGAGAUUUUGUUAGCUGAGAUAGCAAUAAACCUUUUUAUACAAUUAGUUUUUUCUAUAGCUCCUUCGCUUUUCAGAAAAGCGAUGUAAAAGCACCCCCCAUUUCUGACAAAAUUA
RNAcentral lists this long non-coding RNA (1660 nucleotides) under Daphnia pulex (common water flea). RNAcentral describes it as "uncharacterized LOC124199395". Lineage: Eukaryota; Metazoa; Arthropoda; Branchiopoda; Diplostraca; Daphniidae. The record is from RNAcentral.